Molecule: ribosomal RNA, 508 nt
Filed under: uncultured bacterium
Lineage: Bacteria
Description: partial 16S ribosomal RNA
Rfam family: Bacterial small subunit ribosomal RNA
Source: RNAcentral
GAUGAACGCUAGCUACAGGCUUAACACAUGCAAGUCGAGGGGAAACGAUAUUGGAAGCUUGCUUCCGAUAGGCGCCGACCGGCGCACGGGUGAGUAACGCGUAUCCAACCUGCCCAUCACUUGGGGAUAACCUUGCGAAAGUAAGACUAAUACCCAAUGACGUCUCUAGAAGACAUCUGAAGGAGAUUAAAGAUUUAUCGGUUAUGGAUGGGGAUGCGUCUGAUUAGCUUGUUGGCGGGGUAACGGCCCACCAAGGCGACGAUCAGUAGGGGUUCUGAGAGGAAGGUCCCCCACAUCGGAACUGAGACACGGUCCAAACUCCUACGGGAGGCAGCAGUGAGGAAUAUUGGUCAAUGGACGAGAGUCUGAACCAGCCAAGUAGCGUGCAGGAUGACGGCCCUAUGGGUUGUAAACUGCUUUUAUAAGGGAAUAAAGUGCGAGUCGUGACUCUUUUUGCAUGUACCUUAUGAAUAAGGACCGGCUAAUUCCGUGCCAGCCGCCGCAGUAA